UACGGGAGGCAGCAGGGGGAAUAUUGCACAAUGGGCGCAAGCCUGAUGCAGCCAUGCCGCGUGUAUGAAGAAGGCCUUCGGGUUGUAAAGUACUUUCAGUCGUGAGGAAGGUGUUAAGGUUAAUAACCUUAGCAAUUGACGUUAGCGACAGAAGAAGCACCGGCUAACUCCGUGCCAGCAGCCGCGGUAAUACGGAGGGUGCGAGCGUUAAUCGGAAUUACUGGGCGUAAAGGGCACGCAGGCGGUUAAUUAAGUUGGAUGUGAAAUCCCCGGGCUUAACCUGGGAAUGGCAUUCAAGACUGGUUAGCUAGAGUCUUGUAGAGGGGGUAGAAUUCCAUGUGUAGCGGUGAAAUGCGUAGAGAUGUGGAGGAAAUACCGGUGGCGAAGGCGGCCCCUGGACAAAGACUGACGCUCAUGUGCGAAAAGCGUGGGGAGCAAAACAGGGAUUAGAUACC
This 455-nucleotide ribosomal RNA is filed under the name uncultured bacterium. RNAcentral describes it as "bacterial SSU rRNA". It matches the Rfam family "Bacterial small subunit ribosomal RNA", at positions 340 to 786 of the family's 1533-position model. The record is from RNAcentral.